GCUCAAAGUCGUUCGGCAGUCGGUCAAUCCGUCGCGAACGCUACCUCCCCUCUCACUUCUCCCCUCCAACGCUACGAAGCACCAUUUCACUCCUCACUUCUCUUCUCCCCCAAAUCUCUCUUCGCCCACGCGGCGGAGCCGCCGGCGACGGCGUGGAGGAGAUGAUGUUGGUAGCUGCCCAUGGAGGGGCCGCGCUGACGCGAUGAGGGCCCGACGGCCAGCCACGGAUCCAAACCAGAUCCAUGGAGCGACGGGCGGUGGCGCGAUGGCAGAGCUGUGCAGAGGGUGGAGGCGCAACCAUGGCGUCGUAUGCGAGGUCGGCGUGUGGGGUGGGGGAUCUGGGCGAGCUCCGCCGCCAUCUGCCACCGCCGCCGUCCCCGCCAACCCGCACGGCAGGAUCCCGAUCCCCGCUCCUCUUCCGCGUCUGUCGUCAAGGUCAGACGCAUUCAGCCACCCCCCUCCUCUCCCCUUUUAUGCUAUAAGUCUAAGAUAACACGCGGGCCUCUUUCUGGUGGAUGAAUUCGUGGUGUUCCAGGAGGAGCAGCGCCGGACGCUGGGAGGUCCAGUAGCCGGGGCCGCGGAGGAGCCGCGCCGGCCGCCGGUAGGUCCAGUAGUCGGGGCUGCGGAGGAGCCGCGCAGAGCGCCGGGAGGUCCAGACCAGAAGCCAUGGCCGCUGGUGCGUGUGUGCUAUUCCUGCCGCUGGUGCGUGUGUGCUGUUCCUGCCGCUAGUGAAUGCGGGUUGUUCCUGCUAUGGGGAAAGGCCCGUUGGGGCGAUGGAGAGAGGGCGUUCGCGCUGUUGGGAGCGAUGCUUAGUGUUCGGGCUGGGGCUCCUCUCGUCCCGAACUAAUUCGUUCGAUCGAUGCCCAGAUUCCUCCGGAACGAAUCGUUCGGUGUGGGGAGGUCCCAGACCGAACGUUCGGCCGUUAUCGGCGUCCUAUAUAUUUUUGAAAGGAAACCGAGCAAUAUCUCAUCAAAUAAAGUCAAAUGGAGCAACUUCCCUUUCGGGUGAAACUUUACGAGAGUAUCCAAGUCGCAAGACAGCUCGGGAGGGCACGGCCGAGGCAGCCGAGGUGACUGGGAGCUAUCUUGUGCGCUCCCGCACCCAGGCGACCAACAGGAGGUUGCGGGGUGGCCGGAGCAAUGGCUUGACUGCUUCGUGGGAGCGCUCAUGGUAGGUGCAGUCUACAUAGGGUCAGGGUCGGCAUGGGCGAGAGAAAGGGGUAGGGAAACCUUGGCAUCACAGAGUUCUCCCACAUUCCCGAAAUGAAAGAGAACUAACAAGGACACAACAAUUAUUAGCUCGAGCUCAAAAUGAGCCCGUAUAAACACUAAAAUCAUAAAAAAUGUUUUUUAAUCUGAUUUAUUUUUUCUAUGAAACAUUGACAAAAGUUUCGAGUGCUUGUAAAAUUUCAUCAUGAAAUCACAUUCUGGAAGUGGUGGUAAAAAAUAAACUAAUGCUCCAAAAAUGGUAUAGUCGAAAGCAUUUUUUUGCUGCGGCUUCCACGAAUGUCAUUUCAAAUUGAAUAUUUGCAGGCUGUUAAAACAUUUGUUAAAGUUUACCACACAAUUUUUUAGAAUUCUUUGAAUGUUUUUUCACCUUUUUCGAAUUUACUGUUCAUGCGAGCUCAGUUGAGCUCGUGAGC
Molecule: ribosomal RNA, 1643 nt
Filed under: Triticum aestivum (bread wheat)
Lineage: Eukaryota; Viridiplantae; Streptophyta; Magnoliopsida; Poales; Poaceae
Description: partial small subunit ribosomal RNA
Source: RNAcentral